UGUGUGUGUGUGUGUGUGUGUGUGUGUGUGUGUGUGUGUGUGUGUCAGCAGUGCAGUUGAGCUGAAGGUCCGGUCCUGUUGCUGUAUGUGUUCAGUCUUUAGGAUGAAUCUGUGCGUUCUUGUGUUGUGUGUGUUGCUGUCUGCCUCCAGCUGCUCAGGUGACAAAGGCGCCCAAACUGGCUUGCGGGCAGGCUCUAAGUUAGUUACCCUGCAGCCCUGGUUGGUGGGUCUGACAGCUGUAGUUGGAUUCCUCUUCAUCGUCUUUGUCAUCCUGAUCGUUAAUAGACUGCUCCGGAAGAACAGGAAGGAUCCAAAGAGCUAUACCUAUGGCGACAUCACUGCAGAGGUGGAAACUAAACAGACCAGUCUGUAGAGAACCAGCUGAAGAGGCACCUGGGUGAAGGCACCUGCCCAAUACGCCACUUUCUAUUUGCUGGUCUUUGUCUUUGACAGAAAUGAAAAAAAUAUUCAUGGCUUUGAAUAUUUCACUCUAUAUCAUGGAGGCUGUUGUUUUUUGUCACCACUAGAGGGGCACAUUACAUAGAAGAAUCUAUCGCUAACAUCACUGUAGUAAUUCACUCACCACCAAAACCCUAAUAACUCACACAGAACAAAAGAUUGUAUUUAUAACAUAUUUGUCCCAUAUUCUUAUUUUAAAUGAGAUACCUGAAAAAAAUAUAGAACAGAGACAUGUUAAAGAAAUACUGGACAAUGCUCUUUGUCUGAUAUGACACCAGAGCGCCAUGUAUAGUUGGAAAAUGAAAAAUCAACCCAACUAACAACCUGUGAGGGUUUAGUGAUGCGCUCUCCACCCGCAUCAAAAGAACAACUGAGGGAAUAUUUGUUGGAACAAUGCUGUUGAUCCCUCCGGUAUAACAUUAUAUCUCUUUGAGAAUCUGCAGGAUGCUGUGGUGUUGAACAUCAUCUUGUCUCCAUGUCUGAUCCUUUCAUUUUCCUGCUGCUCCAGUAUAACUGUAAUAAUUCACCCUAAUGUAAUUCACCUUACAUUAUAAAUAACUAUUGCUGUCACAA
Long non-coding RNA from Eleginops maclovinus (Patagonian blennie), 1032 nucleotides. RefSeq lists it as uncharacterized. The record is from RefSeq and is a predicted model, not a curated record. The transcript is spliced from 3 exons. NCBI's taxonomy places the organism in Eukaryota, Metazoa, Chordata, Actinopteri, Perciformes, Eleginopidae.